Molecule: transfer RNA, 75 nt
Filed under: Marivirga atlantica
Lineage: Bacteria; Pseudomonadati; Bacteroidota; Cytophagia; Cytophagales; Marivirgaceae
Also listed under: 2 other names
Rfam family: tRNA
About the family: Transfer RNA (tRNA) molecules are approximately 80 nucleotides in length. Their secondary structure includes four short double-helical elements and three loops (D, anti-codon, and T loops).
Source: Rfam by way of RNAcentral
GGGAUUAUAGCUCAGUUGGUUUAGAGCACCUGCCUUACAAGCAGGGGGUCGUAGGUUCGAAUCCUACUAAUCCCA